This is a long non-coding RNA of Salarias fasciatus (jewelled blenny), 230 nucleotides long. RefSeq lists it as uncharacterized. NCBI's taxonomy places the organism in Eukaryota, Metazoa, Chordata, Actinopteri, Blenniiformes, Blenniidae. The record is from RefSeq and is a predicted model, not a curated record. The transcript has 3 exons.
UGCUGCUGCUGCUGUGGAGCUCAGGAGUCCAUCUGGAAGACAGAAACCGUCCAGCUGAGGCUGAUUAUGAGUUCAGGUUGGUGGGAGGAAGCUCUGGCUGUUCAGGUGAAGUGGAGCUGAAACACCUCGGAGAAUGGAGACCAGUGGACGACUUUUACUGGAACCUGAAGUUAUUAACUGCAGUCUGUGAACGUCUGGACUGUGGCCCUGUUGUUUCCAUCAAUACAACA